RNAcentral lists this long non-coding RNA (188 nucleotides) under Mustela putorius furo (domestic ferret). RNAcentral's name for it is "lncRNA (ENSMPUG00000030740.1)". The record is from RNAcentral. Lineage: Eukaryota; Metazoa; Chordata; Mammalia; Carnivora; Mustelidae.
GCCUCACCCACCUCCUCUGGGGUGGCGAGAGAACCCACCAGCCACACACAGGCGCUUCCCACAGGGACUGAAGGGGGCCUGCCUGGUGAACAGAAGCUAAGUGGACACAGCUGCUUAAAAUUUGCUGGAACUUCAAUGUUUUCUUGGAGAAUGAUUCAGACGAACAGGAAAAAUAACGAACAGUAAAC